UUAGUUCGUGGAGUGAUUUGUCUGGUUAAUUCCGAUAACGAACGAGACUCAAAUAUAUUAAAUAGAUAUCUUCAGGAUUAUGGUGUUGAAGCUUAUAUUGCCUUCAUUCAUGGUAGCAGUAAAAUGUUUAUUGUGUUUGAAUGUGUUUAUAUAAGUGGAGCCGUACCUGUUGGUUUGUCCCAUUAUAAGGACACUAGCUUCUUAAAUGGACAAAUUGCGUCUAGCAAUAAUGAGAUUGAGCAAUAACAGGUCUGUGAUGCCCCUUAGAUGUCCUGGGCUGCACGCGCGCUACAAUGAAAGUAUCAACGUGUAUUUCCUAGACCGAGAGGUCCGGGUAAACCGCUGAACCACUUUCAUGCUUGGGAUUGUGAACUGAAACUGUUCACACGAACUUGGAAUUCCUAGUAAUUGUGAGUCAUUAACUCGCAUUGAUUACGUCCCUGCCCUUUGUGCACACCGCCCGUCGCUACUACCGAUUGAAUUAUUUAGUGAGGUCUCCGGACGUGAUCACUGUGACGCCUUGCGUGUUACGGUUGUUUCGCAAAAGUUGACCGAACUUGAUUAUUUAGAGGAAGUAAAAGUCGUAACAAGGUUUCCGUAGGUGAACCUGCGGAAGGAUCAUUA
Molecule: non-coding RNA, 624 nt
Filed under: Drosophila willistoni
Lineage: Eukaryota; Metazoa; Arthropoda; Insecta; Diptera; Drosophilidae
Description: Eukaryotic small subunit ribosomal RNA
Rfam family: Eukaryotic small subunit ribosomal RNA
Source: Rfam by way of RNAcentral